Molecule: long non-coding RNA, 27964 nt
Filed under: Triticum aestivum (bread wheat)
Lineage: Eukaryota; Viridiplantae; Streptophyta; Magnoliopsida; Poales; Poaceae
Description: long non-coding RNA (TAES_LNC010651)
Source: RNAcentral
AAUUGCAUGGUGACGACAUGUUGAUCCUUUUGCAUGGUUGUAACAUGAAAUUUUGCAUGCAUGAUUCGUUUUCAUUGCAUGAUGAACAAUGUUAGCCAUAAAAUUUUAAUAGUGCCAGAUUUUAGUAAUAAAUCAAAAUAAAGUUUACUUUAACCAAAAAAUAGUUGCAUUAAACAUUAAAAGAUUAGGAAUUUCAUUCAAAUCAAUCUAGUUCGUACUGGGAUACUCAAGUAUCGCUGCUGCAAAUUCAGGCACACAAGCUAGCCUAAGCAGCUGGAUGCCCCUUCUCUCUAAUGACCUAUCCAAAAUGUGAAGAAGUUCAUAGUCUAUGGACCCCUUGUGUCUUAUUAUUUCCCGCAUGCAAGCCAGAAGCUUUCCUGUUGCCUUCCGAUUACCGAAGGUCCGAGGCCGUUCGUGUGUUUGCGAAAGUUGUGCUCCUUCAACAACUUGUGAACGGUGGUCUUCUUCAUAUUCAAUGCACUAGCGACAUCUCGGAUCGUUUUUCGAUCCUUCGGAGGUACAGCCAUUAGAGCAUCCAAGUCCAACGCAGCACGCUUUCUUCCAACUCUACCGGCCUUCUUGUUGAUGACCGCAUUCACACCGCCACCUCGCCUAGCAUUCUCCCAUAUCCGCCGGAGGACCCUAGCUGGCACGUCUGUUCGAUCUGAUAAUUCUUUACUCACCCCACGUCUUAGUGGACCACAACCAUUUCUCUCCAAAAUAAUCGCAUACAGCGCACGCUUAUCAUUAUCGUUGUAAAAUGUUCUUCUCUUUUUAUUGGCCAUCUCAACUAGGAAAAACAUACAAGGAUAGCAUUUUGUUAAGUUUGAAACUAGGACAACAAAAUCCUAUUAACUCUUAUCAUUCAUUUGAUAAUCCAGUUUUAGGAUAAACAAAACAUGCAGCUUGAUGACAACAAAUACUCAUACUAGGAUUCAACAACUAAAUUAGCGAUACACGUGCAAUCUUCAUCUAUGAAUUCUAUAACUUCCUAAUCGUCAUUAUAUAUAAUAGCCAGAAUUACACAGGUGCAAUCUCUACAGUACUAUAACAGAAAAAAAUGUACAGUGUUCAUUCUCUACAAUAUUUUGCAAUAAUCUCCAUUGAUGAAACAUAUUACUACUGUUCAUUAUUAGUAGAAAGAUAUUGACAUAUGCAAUCUCCAUCUAUGAAAUUGAAACCUAUAUAAUAUUUAAAAAAAUUGCACUGCUCAUAAUCUACUCAGAAUCAGAAAUAGAAAUAAAUAGGCCCAUAAAUGUAUUAUACGUAUAUACUAACAACAAUGUGCCUAUGUUCAUGAUCUAAAGUGCUUAUUUUUUAAAUCCACCACAACAAUAACUGAAAGCAUGAGUUUAAACUAACAAAAAACGAGGCUACUUUACUUUAAUCUCAUUAAGUGUAAUCUUCCUCUAUCAAUCACUACAUAGAAAAAUUAUGCCCACUGUUCCAUUGCAUGAGCAUGAGUACCAAAUCACAAGCAAAGUAGGUAGGACGCAAACCUACUUAGUUCGGUGCCGGUGUCAUGGCCGUGGUCGUUCUUGUCCGUGCCUCCUGCGCCGCACCCUUCAUCACCGCCAGCUGCAGCAUCAUCGUCAUGGCGGUCGCAGCCAGGCCAGCCGCGACACUCGGAUCUCGCCACGGAUGUCACGCGACCAGCGAGUCCAGCGCCUAAAGAACCGGCUGCUUCGCGCACGGCAGCGAGUGCACGAGCACGACUGAAGCCGCCGUGGUUGCCUCCUCCGCUCAAGAUCGACGGGAGCGAUCCGCGGCUCGGGUCGAAUGCUCCUCGCCCACCUAGCCGAGGCAGGCCCGCGACGGCUUCUCCACCGGCGCCAGCGGUCCAGCCGCGCCUUGCUCGACCUCCACGUGCCAGGCCCAGGCCGGUGGCGCCCCGUCCACAAGCGACCCCUCCGCGACCGCCACCGCCGCCGGUAGACCCACCAUGCCCACGGUUCAGGUCGCCAGCUUCAUCUCGCGGUCUCCCAGCUUCCACUCGACCGUCUACGUCUACAGGAUCCAGGUUUAGAUCAAAGAACGCCAUGGAGUUUCAGGACGAGGAAGAAGAGGAAUGAAUAAUAAGUAUAGCACGUUUGGAGUUCAAACCUUCGUGCCAUUUUUUCUGCUAGGCAGCGCAGGGAUUGGAUCGACAUGUGGCGCCGUAAAUUGGGAAAUGGGCAUUGUUGCACGCGACGCGUGGAAGGGAGCGAGGUCGCCGGUUGGGUCACUAGUGAGGCGGAAGAGAAGACGAUGGGGUUGCCUGCAAUAACUGCGUUUUGUUGGGAGGAGCAUGGCCGAUCGAAUCCCGUCGGGCGGUUGCAUAUCGCUCGAUAAUCCCUAGUCACUAGAGUCACAUCUCGUCUUCCCUCGCAAAAAAGAGACAGAAAUCUCGUUUUGGUACAUGUUUCCGGUGGACGGUCCGUUUGCAAAGGCCAUAGACGCCGAGAGCACCAAACAUCAAAGAGAUGCCAUGUGGCAUGUCCGUUCCCAUGUAAGGUUGGUCAUAGUGGGUAGUUGGUCAUAGUGGGUAGUAACUUAGACUAAUAACAUGCACCUUGUUACUAGUCUACUCCCUCCGUCCACGAAUAAGUGUACUUAGUUUUUAUCCUAAGUCAAAGUUUAAAAAGUAGUAACAUAUAUAAUAUCAAAUUGAUAUAUUAUGAAAAUACAUUUCAAAACGAAUCUAGUGAUACUAAUUUAGUGUCAUAAAUGUUGCUACUUUUCCCUAUAAAGUUGGUCAAAAAUUUAAAACUUUAAUUUAAGACAAAAGCUAGAAGUACACUUAUUCGCGGACGGAGGGAGUAUGUUACUACCUUCGUAGUGGAGACUAACAUAAGUGUGAUAACAUAUAAAUCUUCAUUUAUUGCUUUGUAGACUCAUUUUGCAUUGGGAAGCGCUAUGUGAUGGUAACAUAUUAUGUUACUCUAUUUGCCUCUCUUUUCAUUAAUUGCCUAACACAUCAUCUUCUUUACUUAUGUGGCAUGCGGGCUCUAUACCUAUGCCAUGUCAUCUAUAGCCUUUGUAAAAAAAUCUCAUAUAAUAAGGCUAGCAGUAAGUUGGCUGUAGCAAUUAAUGUUUCCAUGCAUGGGUAAGAAGGCAAGGGCACUUGAUUGGAAGGGAAAAGGGGAGCCCCAGACUUUAGCACUUUAUGAGGGCUGCAUGCAUUAUUUUAUCCCGUGCGCAGUGCUAUAGCGGAAAAAAAUUGUAUGAGACCGGGUCUCAUAGACCAGCUUGUGAGACCCUAUCGGAUGAGCGACAUGUGGCAUCGACAAUCUCAGAGCACCCUAAUCCCACUUCAUGUCUGAUCUCAAUCCCAACAGCUGAUUCCCGAUUCCAGAACCCCACGUACGUACGUACGUACAUCCUUCGUCGCUCUAAUAGGUACCUGGGACUAGGGUUUUCUUUAUUUUCCUCGCGUCUAUGGCGGCCACGCCCAAGGGCCUCGACGGCGGCGGCCAACCGGCACGACGCAGCAGCGAGGACCUCUCUUCCAUGACCUCGCCGAAGAAGCUCAUCGCCGGCGGCCUGUCGGACGGCUCGUCCAUGGCGGAUGCAUGCCAUGAUGUUGGCCCGGCGGACACCACGUUCAUGGCGGGCGUGCAGCAAGAUGCAUCCAGCUGCUAUGUGAUACCGCAGUCCUCCAUGGCGGCGAACUCCCGGCCGGUGGUUCCAAUGUUAUCUAAGGCGCCACAUCCAUCUAUAACUCUUCCAGUCCCGGUAAGUGAUCCAUGCGGCCAAGCUGGCUGAGUGAUUGCACUAGUCCAGUGCUUGGCAACUAUCUGAUUGCUUACACUGAAACUCGUGAACUAUGAAGCUUAUGCAACCCGGAAGCCAAGAAGAACAUAUGGUGGGUGUGCGUCAAGACAUCGUUCUGGCCGGCCGGACAAACUCGUCAACCGCGGCGACGCGUCAAGGCGCGUCCAGCAGCUCCGUCAUGCAUUCAGUCAGGGCGGCGCCAGCGGCGGCGACGGCGAUAUGUGGGUCUAGGACUUGUCCUAUCACGGUGCGUGUGAGAUGCAUGGGUACAUAAGUAUUCAGAAUAUACAUGUGCAUAGUUCUGCGCUAGCUUGGUUCAUACAUUCGAUGCUAGCCACUGUUAUAUAUAGCAUUAGUUGUAGAACUGAACUUGAAAAUAUGUAAAUUAAUAAUGUUGAAUUAUGUUGUUCGAACGCCAGGAGGAAAAUAUGGAAUUCUGUAAAUCGACAAACAGUGCAAUGGGCGAGUCGAUCCGUGAGCCUAUGACGCCGAGAAAUAUGUUUACCCAUGAUACUGGCCUGGAGUUUGUGGGAGUUGAUAAAGGAGAAGAAAAUUGUGUAAGUAAGGUAAAUAAUACCAUAUAAACCUAUCUUUUAAUAUAAAAUAUGUAUCGAUUGAUUUUAAAAUAAUUAUACUACAAUGCUGAUGGUGUUGGUGUAUUUCAUGUGUGUAACAGGAUAAUCCGAAUGCAUCUUCAAAGCAGAUUGUGCCAAAGAAGGGAAUGAGUUUUGAUUCUGAAGAAGAGGCAUACAAGUUCUAUAACGCGUAUGCCAAAAGUAAAGGAUUUAGUGUCAGAUGGACACACAGAAAAGCAAGAGCAGAUGAUACCUUAUCUGCUAGGUAUUUAGUUUGCAGUAAGGAAUGAGUAAAGGGUAAACAUAGCACACAUGAGACGAGGAAAGAACGGGCUUCUACGAGGACAGAUUGCAAAGCUCGUGUUCAGUUCCAUAUUACUCCGGCGGGUGUUUGGUUGAUUCAGAAGGCUGUCAAUGAGCACAAUCAUCACAUGGUAUCUCCGGACAAGGCACACAUGUUAAGAUCACAACGACAGUUACUAGAUGUCGAUAAACACAUGAUCAACCACAUGCGGUCAGCAGGUAUACGACCAUCGAAAAUAUAUAAUUAUUUUGAAGAAUGGUGUGCAGGAGCACAAAAUGUGCCUUUCUUGGAGAUGGAUUCCAAUAACUAUAUAACAAGAGAGCGUAGCAAGUAUUUGGAGACCAAAGAUGCCCAAACUCUCAUGGAGUAUUUAAAGAACAAACAAGUGGAAGAUCCAUCAUUUUUCUAUGCUGUGCAACUUAAUAAAGAGGAUGGUACACUAGCAAAUUUCUUCUGGGCUGAUGGACAAUCAAUAAUGGAUUAUUCUUCAUUUGGAGAUGUUAUUUCUUUUGACACCACAUUCUCCACCAAUAAGUUUGAAAUGCCAUUUGCUCCUCUGCUUGGUGUUAACCAUCACAAGCAGACUAUUGUUUUCGGUGCUGCAAUAAUAUUUGAUGAAACUGCCGACUCGUUUGUGUGGCUUUUCAGCACCUUCCUACAAGCAAUGUCCGGUAAGGAGCCAAAAACAAUUUUCACUGAUCAGUGUGUUGCAAGUAUGAAUGCAAUUGCAGAGGUAUUCCCGAGCGCAAGCCAUCGCCUUUGUCUAUGGCAUCUAUAUCAAAAUGCCGUUAAACAUCUGAGUCAUGUUAUUGCUGACCAUCCGGAAUUUCUUUCUGAACUCAAGCAGUGUGUAUGUGAAGAAAGGUCAGUUGCACAUUUUGAAUCAAGAUGGCAUGAUUUAUUGGUUAAAUACAGCCUCGAGGAUAAUUCUUGGAUUAACAAUAUGUUCAAAUUUCGUGAGAAGUGGGCAACCGUAUAUAGGCGAGAUUCAUUUAGUGCAGACAUGACAUCGACCCAGAGGAGUGAAGGGAUGAACAAUGCCUUCAAAACAACAUUCAAUGGAAAACUCUCGCUUUCAGAGUUGCUAGAAAAAUAUGACAAGUGUGUCGCACGUCUUCGACGCGAAGAAAAAUAUGAAGAUUUUCAAUCGCGCCAUACAGACCCAGUGCUUUGCAUAGCUAGACAUCCUUUGUUGAAGGAGGCAGCUGCAUCAUACACGAGGUCACUCUAUACUUAUUUUGAAGAGGAAUUUCAGAGGCAGUUUACUUGGUCAUGCACUCUGUUGUGUAAUGAAAGCACAAUCAACACGUACAAAGUUAAAUCCUUUUAUCGAGAGGAUGGUGAAGCCAUUGUCGAUUUUAACCCAACAACUUUGGAGAUAUCUUGUUCUUGCAAGUUGUAUGGAUGUGUGGGUACGUAUACAUUCUUCGUCCGUCAACUAAUAUGAAAUUAUAGGAUUAACCUAAUGGUUUGCUAUUAAUUUUGUAGGUAUUUUGUGCAAGCAUGCUCAUAAAGUUUACAAUUUUUGUAAUAUUGUCACAUUGCCAAGCCAAUACAUAAUGAAUAGAUGGACAAAGUACGCAAAACAAGAUAUCUUCAAUUCUAAACUAGGGGUUAAUGAUAAUGCAGAAUUGCAGUGUGCCCAAAUUUCUCGAAAGAUGCUAUCGCUUGCAUUGAAGUGUAAACCCUCAAAGGAGGUUCUUCGACACCUAGACAAUGGUAUUGAUAAGUUGGCUUCUGAAGUAUGUGAGUUGCUAAGCAAAGUAAGUGUGGAUGAAAAUGAGGAGACAAGAUGUUAUGCUGAAUUUACCGCAGAUGUUGAUAAAGCACGGGUAUCAUUUCGAGCCCCUAAACGGAAAAAAGGCCCAAUGGAGAAACGGUCAAAAGAUGCACUGGAAGCACCAAAGAAAGGAAAAGAUAAGGCUACAUCAAAGAAAGGAAGAAGUAAGGCUGCAUCAAAGAAAGGUAGGUUUACUGUUUAUUUCCCUAGGUUCGAGUAGUUUCCCAUCUUAUACAAAAAUAACAUAAUGUGCAGGGGGAGGUAUAAAACAUACCGCAGUGUCACGUACAACCGAAUUAACAACACAUCCGGUUGGACCUUCAGAAUUUUUAGUAAGUAUAUCAAAUGUUUAUACUAUAUAAUUCUUAUAUUUACAUGGUGACAUAAUUUAUUAUAUUCAUUCUAUUUAAACAGGGGUCAUUGGAACUCAGAUCAGAGACGGGUAUGUUUAUUAUUUAUUUUCCUAGGUCUGAAUACUUUCUAUUUUUCCCUGUAAUCUCGCAUUUUUGAAUACAAACACAUAAAAAACACAAUAUGCAGGGAGAGGUAUAGGACAUUCGUCAGUGUCACGUACAAGGGAAUUAACAACACAUCCAAUUGGACCUUCGAUAUUCCCGGUAAGCAUAUCAGUAAAAGUUUAUACUAUAUGAUUCAUAUUUGACAUGGUGACAUAAUUUAUCCCAUUAAUUUAUUUAUAACAGGGGUCAUUCGAUCAUACAACGGAAUUAACAACAAAUCUGAUUGGACAUUCAGAAUUUCCCGUAAGCAUAUGAAUAAUGUUUUAUACUACGCGGUUCAUAUUUUUGACAUGGUCAAAUAAUUUAUUUCAUUCCUCUUACUGAAACAGGGGUCAUCAAAUCCGAAUGCUUGUUUUCAAAAUAUAGCUCCAUCAUUGGCGACAUCCCUGUCAUUUGGUGAUUAUUCUGCUUUCUAUGCUCCACCACGUAUUCCAGGGGAAUUUACAAGUUUGUUGCUUCAAGCUGAUAAACAAAACCCAAGACUGUCUACCGUUCGGCGAUUGGAUUUCAACGAAGGUACAAGUACAAGCAGGUUUCAGUGGUGACAUCUGUUCUAGUCAUCACAUAAACCACAAGAACAGGAGGCAACUGCAUUAGCAACGAGCUCAUGUGUCCUUUUCAUUUUCAUUGUCUGGGUUUUCCUUACGGACCUGUAAACAAAUAUAUUAAUUUUAGUGGUUGUUCUUUGGACCAUCAGGCCAACAAAACACAUCGAGAUGAACAUAUAUUUGUUUCUCAUGCUUCGAAAACCAUUCUAUGCAUUUCAAUUGUGCCAAAUGAGCUCAUGUGUCCUUUUCUUUUUCAUGUGUGGAUUGUACCUUAUAAAGAUGUAAACAAAUAUUGUACAUCCACACUUAGAUCAAAGCAUAGGUUCAGCAAGUCAUGCCGAAGAGGAGAGCAAACCAAAUUUGUGUAGUACUAAAUUGAAAAAAUCAUCAUGGCAAUAAAUGUAUUUGUUUCACAAAAUCAUCAUGGAGUUUGGGCAAUGAACAAUAUAAUUUCAUGGGAAUCAGUACAUGGGAUCGAUCGGUGGGCACGAACUUGUGAUAUACAAGCACGUAACGGAACCCAGCUUGAUACGUCUCGGCGCUGCUGUGGCCAAAACGAGUUGCUACGACCACUCACGGCGUCUUAGUGUGCACCAACAUGACCGUCAAGUCCGGCCAGAAAGCAAUCAUGGCAUACGGCCGCCAUGGUCGAGCCCAAGCAGUCCGUCUCGCCGCGACCAUGGAGACAAGCAAGUGCACCGGCAAGGAGCAGUUAGACGCAUCUCUACGAGGAGUCAGUCCGGCCGUCCCCAACGACGCCUUGGCGCACGGCCGCCAUGAACGUGCUGUCCGCCCGGCCAACAUCGUGGCGUGCAUCCGCCAUGGACGAGCCGUCCGACAGGCCGCCGGCGACGAGCUUCUUCGGCGAGGUCAUGGAAGAGAGGUCGUCGUUGCUGCGUAAUGCCGGUUGGCCGCCGCCGUCAAGGCCCUUGGGGUUUUGGAACGCGACGACGGAGACAAGCAAGUGCACUGGCAAGGAGCAGUUAGACGCGUCUCUACGAGGAGUCGGUCCGGCCGGCCGCAACGACGCCGUGGCGCACGGCCGCCAUGAACGUGGUGUCCGCCGGGCCAACAUCGUGGCAUGCAUCCGCCAUGGACGAGCCGUCCGACAGGCCGCCGGCGGCGAGCUUCUUCGGCGAGAUCAUGGAAGAGAGGUCCUCGCUGCUGCGUCGUGCCGGUUGGCCGCCGCCGUCGAGGCCCUUGGGCGUGGCCGCCAUAGACGCGAGGAAAAUAAAGAAAACCCUAGUCCCACGUACCUAUUAGAGCGAUGAAGGAUGUACGUACAUACGUACGUGGGGUUCUGGAAUCGGGAAUCAGCUGUUGGGAUUGAGAUCAGACGUGAAGUGGGAUUAGGAUGCUCUGAGAUUGUCAAUGCCACAUGUCGCUCAUUCGAUAGGGUCUCACAAGCUGGUCUAUGAGACCCGGUCUCAUACAAUUUUUUUCCUGCUAUAGCCGGGCGAUUGUUCAAGCGCCGACUCCCUUCUCUUUCUUCACUUCUCUCUCCUCUAGCUAGUACUUUUGCUGACCUGGACCGCUUAUAGCCUGCUGACUCAGGCUUAUUAUACUUGCUCUUACUCCCACUAUGACUAGCCUAAUGGCUCCGUGACUUACAGUUGUCUUUAGCGAGAUCUAAACAGGGGCGCUUGGCACACGAGUGAAACAUUUUCACCUCAUAGGUGGACCCAUUGGAACCACUUGUCACCGAAACAUUUCAAAUUUCUUUUGCAAGAACAUCUGAAACAUUUUGACACUACUGAAGUGCUACCUUUUGCCGAGAUGCACCUGCACCCAUAAGACUAUCCAUAAUGGGAGUAACAUAGAUAGUAACAUCACACAUAUCUGGAUAAAAUAGACAAUGUGGCAAGCAAUAAAUGAAGAAAUGGAGGAAAGUGAUAACAUAGCUAGUUACUAGUAGUAUGAGUAACAUCACACAUAUCAAGGCAAAAUGAGUCUAUAGCCUAAUAAAUGAAGUGUUGCAUGUUAUCACACAUAUGUUACUCCCCACUAUAGAGGUAGUAACAUAGACUAGUAACAUGUGCAUGUUACUAGUCUAUGUUACUACCCAUUGUGGCCAGUCUAAAAGAAUGGCACUACUAGAGUGCUACUUUUACCGAGAGGUGCCAAGGCCAAGCUGAGUCACCUCCUGGGCCGCAUCCGCUCCACCCCGUUCUUCACAUCAGAAUAGCGGUGAGCCCACGGAUCUGUCGUCCCCUAAGUGGAAGAAACGAGGAGGAGGCCCCGUCGGAUGGGUGGGAAGAUGGUGGCUAGGGAGAGGAGUGGCGGCGGCCCCCUCUGCCUACCACCGAGCUCAGGGAGAAAGAUGGCAGCCACGGCGGCAGGGAGUAUGCGAGCGAAUGUGGUGACUAGACACCAGGAGCUAGACGAGGUGGUCUAUGCCAAUGAAGAGGGCGUCCAUGUGGUUUGUUUUCCUGUAGAUUUCCUCUCUUAGUUGAUUUUAUUUUGUGGUCAAAAACAAUGGCAGAUCUCCUCAUCGACUGGUCUGACUUGGGGCUGAUUUUCCUCUUGCGAUUCCUAUUCAUGGCCCUGCUGUGGUUGUACCGUGGUCCGUGGGGAAUAGAAACGAACAUCUCUUCUACAACUGGCGUCAGGAUAGGCCAACCGGGGAGAGAUAGGAUCGUUGAGUCUUUUUACCCUCAUUCUGCCUCUCAGGUUACUAGGGCUAAAUGUUGAUUGAUCUGUUCUCUACCCAUGAUGCAGGAGACCUUUUACGGUACAUCAAAUGAAUUUGAACCAUUAAUUUUUGUGAUUCAAUGGCCCAGAUGCCCCAAUACUAUAAAAUGUAAUUCCAUGUUGGUAACUUAAUUUGGGUCUGGGAGGCCGAACUACCGAUCAAGCUCCAUUUUAUAGAUUUUAGGCUGGUCAUAGUGGGGAGUAACUUAGACUAGUAACAUGCAUAUGUUACUAGUCUAUGUUACUACCUUUAUAGUGCAUAGUAUCAUAGAUUAGUAUCAUAGGAGAUCUCAUUUAUUGCCAUGCAUGACACAUAGUACCAUCACAUUUAUUAUUUUACGGUAUCUACCUAUGUGUGACGCCCGGAUAAUCAAGCUACAGUAAACCUUUGCUAAUGAUGCCAUAUCAUCUCUGUUACUGUUGCUAAUCAAGUGUUAGUUCAAAACAUUUCAAAUUCAAAAAAUUGAAUUAGUGACAAACACCCAAAGUUUUCAAAAGUCAAAACAAAAAUGUUUGGUGGGUGCCCAAUAUUGCACUGGUAAUUAUAGUGGAGAAAACAUUUUUUUAGAAAGUGCCUAAAUAUUCUAAAGUGAAAAAAAAACAGAAAAGAAAAAUAAAGAAAAGAAAAGAAAAAGAACCCCUCCCCCACUGGACCAGGUGACCCAGCUCACAGGCCAGACCGGCCCACCUGGCCCAGCUUGCCAACCGCCGGCCCAUGCCUCCCUGCCUCGUCUCCCUUCCCUGUUCCCCCGACCCGGGUCAGAACAGGGGCGCGUCGCCACCGGACCCCCUCGCCGGCGUCGAGGAAAGGAUAAGGCCGCCACGCCCCCGCCUCCUCGAUCCCGCCUCCCACUCGCCCCCACUCUCGCCCUCGGUUCCUGCGCCUCUUCCUCUCCCCUCAGAUCCACCUCGCCACUCCCCCUCGUUCCCCACCGCAACCGAGUGCCGCCAUGGCCUCGCCGCCGUAGAACUCACGGCCACCGCGACCUCCAAGCCUCUCCGACGUGUCCGCUCGCUCUGCCUCCCUCGACUACGCCUCCUCGUCAAGCCGCAGGACGCCGGCCACCCUCGAACGCUGCCCCGGCCUCGUCUUCUUCCGCGGAUCCCCGGCGCAUCUCCGACGCGUGCCGUCGACGCUGCAGCUCCUAAACCCCCCAAGGGCCUUUCGUGUGUGCCGCUCGGUGAGCUCCACCCCUCCUGCUCUCCGUUUGCUCUCUCGCACGCCCUAGCUAGUUGCCGUCGAAGCACCCGAACGCAGCACCGCGGAGCUCGUCGCCGAUGAGUCUCCGGUGACCAACUGGUCACGAGCGUGUUGCCAUUGAACUCGCCGCGUCGAGUAGGGCCCGACUAGCUCUCACGUUUUCCCAAUAGCGCACCACAUCGCCGUUGCCGUUGCUCGCCCGAAACACCCCGCCACCGGCGACGUCGUACUACUCGUCUCCAGCCAACCCCGUGCCUGCGACCACCGCCACUCGACGCGCGCUGUCGUGUGCGUUCGAACACACCCAACCGCGCGUAAAAUUGUGCCCCAUACCACCAUUUGCCCUCACGCCCGACUCCGUCCGUCCGCUGAUGUGCUCGCCGCCGUCGCUUCCGGCCACCUCCGGCCAUGCCACCGCCGCCACUAGACGCGGGGCACUCUCCUCGUUCGAGCGUAAGAGACGGCGCUCAUUUUGGUGCCCCGUAGGUGAAACCCGACGCUCGCCGGCGUCCGGCCACUGCGCGCGAGCUCGCCGGAGCUACUCCGGCGGCUCUGCUAAGCUGGCACACCUGGGGCCACCCCUGGGUCACUGCCUGGUGGCCCCGCGGGCCCGGCUGGCCCAGUUGACCAGGUCAACGUGCUGACAGGGCCGGUCCCAGUAGUUGACCAGUGGCCCCCACACUAUAAACUAAUUAAUUAGUUAAUCUAAUAAAUCCGAGCUAAUUAGUCAUUGACUAAUGGGGCCCACACUUAGUUAAUAAUAGUUAGUUUAAAACAAAUCCAUUUUAGCUCUGGCUCAAUGACAGGUGAGUCCCACUGGACCCACAAGUCAGUUUUCACUCUAGUCAACUGCACUGUUGACUGCUGACAUCACACAUACGUCAUGCUCACGUCAUCCCAUACUGUUCUGGAUAAUGUUGGAUUUAAAUAAAUAAUUAAAAUCAGAAAAUGAUUAAAACUUUAGAAAAUCAUAUAAAAUAAUCCGUAAUUCGGAAGAAAAUACUUUCUAUAUGAAAGUUGCUCAGAACGACGAGACGAAUACGGAUAUGCAGCCCGUUCGUUCAUCCCAUGUCCCUAGCAUAGUGAUCCUGCAACAUUUCACCUCCGGUCCAUCUGUCCGAAAACGCGAAACACCGGGAAUACUUUCUCGGAUGUUCCCCCCCUUCGUCGGUAUCACCUACUACCAUCAUGGCCCCCCCUAACAACACUCAUUGUCAUGUCAUGCAUCGUCAUGCAUAUGUUUGCAUUAUAUUUAUUGUUUCUUCCCCCUCUUCUCUCGCUAGACUUUGAUACCGACGCUGCUGCUGCUGCCUAGUUCGACUACGGAGUUGACGACCCCUCCUACUUGCUCGAGCAACCAGGCAAGCCGCCCCCUUGAUCACCAGAUAUCGCCUAUUCUACUCUCUACUUCUUGCAUUAGAGUAGUAUAGCAUGUUACUGCUUUCCGUUAAUCAUAUCCUCAUGCAUAGCCUGUCCUUGCUACCACUGUUGUUACCCUACCUGCAAUCCUACAUGCUUAGUAUAGGAUGCUAGUAUUCCAUCUGUGGUCCUACAUUCUUGUCCAUCUGCCAUGCUAUACUAUUGGGCCGUGAUCACUCGGGAGGUGAUCACGGGUAUAUACUUAUAUACUUAAGAUAUAUGAUACUUGCGGUGACUAAAGUCGGGUCGGCUCGUAGGAGUACCCGCAAGUGGAUCUUAGUGGCGGAGCGGCAGGGCAGGUUGAGACCACCUAGGAGAGAGGUGGGACUGGCUCUGGUCGGCGUCCGCGGUUACUUCAUAAUAACACGCUUAACGAGAUCUUGGUAUUUGAACUGAGUUGGAUCGUUGACCUUAUACGCACUAACCGCCACGUGGGACAAGAUAUGGGCAACCGGCGUCGCGAUAUCAGCCGAAGCUCUUUUUGACAUCAGCGACUGAGCGGCGCGCGCCGCAUUGGACCGUAAACCCGCGCUUGUAUUAAGGGGGCUAGGUCUGCUUCCGGCCGCGUACGCAACAUGUAGGUGUGCAAUGGGCGAUGGGCCCAGACCCCUGCGCGCAUAGGAUUUAGACCGGAAUGCUGACCUCUCUGUUGAGCCUAGGUAGGGCUGCGACGUGUUGAUCUUCCAAGGCCGGGCAUGACCCAGGAAAGUGUGUCCGGCCAAAUGGGAUCGAGCAUGUCGGGUAAUGUGGUGCACCCCUGCAGGGAAGUUUAUCUAUUCGAAUAGCCGUGAUCUUCGGUAACAGGACGACUUGGAGUUGUACCUUGACCUUAUGACAACUAGAACCAGAUAUUAAUAAAACACACCCUUCCAAGUGCCAGAUACAACCCGGUGAUCGCUCUCUCACAUGUCGACGAGGAGAGGAUCGUUGGCUAGGAUUAUGCUAUGCGAUGCUACUUGGAGGACUUCAAUCUACUCUCUUGUACAUGCUGCAUGACGGAGGCUGCCAGAAGCGUAGUCUUCGAUAGGACUAGCUAUCCCCCUCUUAUUCUGGCAUUCUGCAGUUCAGUCCACCGAUAUUGCCCCUUUACACAUAUACCCAUGCAUAUGUAGUGUGGCUCCUUGCUUGCACGCGAGUACUUUGGAUGAGUACUCACGGUUGCUUCGCUCCCUCUUUCCCCCCUUUUUCCUCUUCAUCCCGGAUGCCGCAACCAGACGUUGGAGCCCAGGAUCCAGACGCCACCGUCGACGACGACUCCUACUACACUGGAGGUGCCUACUACUACGUGCAGGCCGCUGACGACGACUAGGAGUAGUUUAGGAGGAUCCCAGGCAGGAGGCAUGCGCCUCUUUCGAUCUGUAUCCCAGUUUGUGCUAGCCAUCUUAUGGCAACUUAUUUAACUUAUGUCUGUACUCAGAUAUUGUUGCUUCCGCUGACUCGUCUAAGAUUGAGCCUUGUAUUCGAGCCCUCUAGGCCCCUAGCUUGUAUUAUGAUGCUUGUAUGACUUGUUUUAUUUUAGAGUUGUGUUGUGAUAUCUUCCCGUGAGUCCCUGGUCUUGAUCGUACACGUUUGCAUGUAUGAUUAGUGUGCGAUUGAAUCGGGGGCGUCACAAGUUGGUAUCAGAGCUGACUGCGUGUAGGAAUCCCCCUUCCACACUCCUUGGCCGAAGUCGAGUCUAGACAUUGCAAAGCUUUUUACUAACUUGGCUGUGCGGCUUACGGGCCCACGUCGCCAUUGGGUGGUACUAGGAUCUUUUACUCCUCCACUACUAGAGAAAAGCUUAUUAGUGGCGCUGGUUUUUUACAUACUAGUAGCGCGAGCACCCGCGCUACUGCUAGGGCGCUACAGCUAUUAUUUAACAGUAGCGCGUUUCUGAACAAGCGCUGCAGCUAAAAUACUUAUUAGUAGUGCUGCUUCCUCCACCAGCGCUACUACUAUCAUCACUUAGUAGUAUCGCCCUAUUUUCUCCCCACGCUACAACUAGGCAAAUAGAAAUAAAAAAUAAAAAAGCAGUCAGGUGCAAUAUUCAUGGAAAUCAAGAAAAGUCCAGUGCAAAUAAACUAAGUUCACAGAACCAUCUCACAAACAUUAACGACAGUACCACAUUUAAUAUAACCACACAAUCUCACAAACUCAUAUAGUAGUCAACAAUGAAUGGAUCGAUCAUAGUUGAUAAGUCUACUAGGUAGUCAUACUAGCAUAUAUAUGGUUCAACAGCCACACGCAUGCAUAUGAAGUUCUAGAUGAUGUCGAUGACGACCAUCAUCCUCAAGCCUGGGCGGUGGGUGUUCCUGAUAGUAAUUAGGAUUGCCUGUCCAACAUGAAGAUUCUUGCCGACGAGGAAGCUCUUCCACCCAACCGAGUUGAAGUGUGUGCGACCGUCCAUGUCCACGCCGUACACACAAGUGGUGACGGAGCCCCUUGCGGUAAGGCGUAUUCCAGCAGAGCCUUCUUCAUCAGGCUUGAUACCACAACUCUCAGAUAGGCUCUUUGGCAAUUUCUGAAUAAGAAAAACAUAUCAAUUAAUAAGUAGCCUCACACAUUCUACACGGAGCAUAUAUAUCAUCGGACUCUACACUAAGCAUAUAUAUCAUCGGACUCUACACUAAGUAUAUAUAUCAUCGGACUCUACACUAAGUAUAACAAUAAAGCAUAUAAGAUUCACUAAGCAUAUAUAUCAUCGGACUCUACACUAAGUAUAACAAUAAAGCAUAUAAGAUUCACUAAGCAUAGAUUCACUAAGCAUAUAAGAUUCAGUAAGCAUAUAAAAUUCACUAAGCAUAUAUAUGAUCGGACUCUACACUAAAGUAUAACAAUAAAGCAUANNNNNNNNNNNNNNNNNNNNNNNNNNNNNNNNNNNNNNNNNNNNNNNNNNNNNNNNNNNNNNNNNNNNNNNNNNNNNNNNNNNNNNNNNNNNNNNNNNNNNNNNNNNNNNNNNNNNNNNNNNNNNNNNNNNNNNNNNNNNNNNNNNNNNNNNNNNNNNNNNNNNNNNNNNNNNNNNNNNNNNNNNNNNNNNNNNNNNNNNNNNNNNNNNNNNNNNNNNNNNNNNNNNNNNNNNNNNNNNNNNNNNNNNNNNNNNNNNNNNNNNNNNNNNNNNNNNNNNNNNNNNNNNNNNNNNNNNNNNNNNNNNNNNNNNNNNNNNNNNNNNNGACUCUACACUAAGUAUAUAUAUCAUCGGACUCUACACUAAGUAUAACAAUAAAGCGUAUAAGAUUCACUAAGCAUAUAAGUUUCACUAAGCAUAUAUAUCAUCGGACUCUACACUAAGUAUAACAAUAAAGCAUAUAAGAUUCACUAAGCAUAGAUUCACUAAGCAUAUAAGAUUCAGUAAGCAUAUAAGAUUCACUAAGCAUAUAUAUGAUCGGACUCUACACUAAAGUAUAACAAUAGAGCAUAUAAGAUUCACUAUGCAUAUAUAUCAUCGGACUCUACACUAAGUAUAGCAAUAAAGCAUAUCAUCCAAUUACUCUAAAAACUACAGUAAAUGCAACAUACCAUCAUAUGCCGAUCAACCAUGGUACUUGUCAGGCGGGUCACGAAUGGCACCCCGACGAAGUCAGCACGUGGCGGAAUGAUGUCCCAUAGGUUGCACACCUCCUCCUCGCUCAACUUCAUUCUUUGAGCUACGAUGGCAUCACGGAGUGGGUUGUCAUCAUCCUCAUCAUCCUCAUCAUCCUCAGAAUCUUCUGCUUUGUUGAUAUAAAUCACGUCCAGCUUGGGUCUUUCAGCUCUGAAGGAGAAGCUGAUCAACUCACCACCGGUGAUACGCAUGUUGUCGAUGAAACGGACCCAUCCAUCUCCUCCCACCCGCGUCAUCUUUCGUCCUUUCUCGAUCUCCAUAGUGUAGGGGCCCCCAGGAGCCUCAAAUCUCACAGAGUCUCCAGUCAGAUUGUUGAAUUCUGACCUCACAUUGCAUGGGACGAUAUGUGUACAAAAAGAAAAAUGAUAUAUACACGAUGCAUUAAUGCCAAUAACACUAAAAACAAAAUAGUAGUUACUAGUUUCAUAUAAUUUAUUACCACCGCAUGAAGAAAACUAGACUCGAAGUAGAUGCCAAACAGCGUGCCAGUUGCAAGGCUGCUGGCGCACCUUGACUUGCACCGUCGACAUGGUGGUGGUGGUGGUGGUGGCGCCAUUUCCCUAAAGCAAUAUGAUUAAAGGAUUAACGAUCCAAAAAUUAAACAUGAAGUUUUCAUAGCUAGAGUUCACAUGGCAAGCAAAAUAACAACUAAAAAGUAAACAUAAAGUUCAGUCGAACAAUCACAAAUUGCAAAAGUAGAGUGAUUGUAUGAUAAAACACAAGAGUUUCAUGCGCACCUCAAAUCUGUGUCAAACUUAUUCUGUCACAGACUCAAACAAAAUUAGAAUCCUAUCAGCAAAUUGCCAACGAAGCAUACCAAGAAAGCUAGCAAUCUAGUAAUCUAAUGUCCCCAACUCUUCAGAUGAAGCAUCGCUAUUAGCAUGAAAUUUGCACUAAACACAAGGUUAAACAAUACUAGUAGCUCAAUAAUCUAGAGAUGUAACAAACAAAUAUAUGGCAAAACAUAACAAUACUUUGAUCUCAUCUCAUCUUCGUUAAUUACAACAAAGCACACUAAAUAAACUACCCCUUUCUCAUAUCAGUAAUCCUAAAUCUUGAUGAUUUCUGAGUAUAGCACUUACAAAUUAACUAUUUUUCUAUGAUAGGAACAUGAGCUUGUAGCUUUGUCUCUCACAUGAACAACACCUAGUGGCCAAGCCCAUACUUUUUUGUCCAUGAACAUCACCUCAAAAAAAUCUAUAAUUGUUAACCAAACCGAACACUAACCCAUCUGACCAUUAAUAUUCAUUUGGGUUAAUUUGAGAAACAACAUGGCGAGCCGCCACGGCAAAUCGAUUGGAGCCUUUACGACGAACCCUAACUGAGAGAUCGAGAGGAGCUACUGUGGCACGCGCAGGGAGGAGGAGAUCGAGAGGGGGAGUUACGGGGCUGGAGCGUCGGAGGAGGCAAGAGGCGAACGCGCGUGGUGGCGGCGCACGGCAUCGUCGAUGGGGGUGAGGCGGCCAGGGACGAACCCUAACCGCGGCGACGUCGUCGUCGGGCGGAGGGGAUCAAUUGUGAGAGGAGGGGGGGUGCGGGGGUGCUCGAUCGGACCGGUUUUAUUUAGCUAUAGUAGUAGCGAUGGCUGGAGCACCACACUACUGCUAAGCCCACCAGAUGUGGCACCCUUUCAGACCAAACGCUACAGCUAAGUGGGCUACUGAUUCUGCCCUGCGGCCCUUGUAACAGUAGCGCGACCCAAGCAAACAAACGCUGCUAUUAUAUGUUAGUAGUAGCGUGUUUUCUACACAGCUCUACUGGUAAUUACUAGUAGUGUGGGGUCACAAAAACUCGCUACUAGUAAACUUCUAUCUAUAAGCAUUUUCCUAGUAGUGCUCGAUCUAUACUCUGGGACACUGAACUCUCUUCUAUUCGGGUUUAAAUGGUUUUACUAACUCUAACAUUAGGACCUCGUGAUCCCUUCCUCCCGGAGAGCCCCUUAUUAAAGAUGAUCGCCUGCUGCACUAGAAGAUUCCGAAGAUACUCUGUAGUGUUCUCUCAAGACUUUGUGUCAUCGCUUUUGCAUUCCCUACCACCGUUAUAUCCUUAGGGAUAACUGCAUACACUUGCCAGUCUUACGUUCAACCCCAUUGAUCUUGUUAAUACAAGAUGCCUCGAACUGCUCUCCGUUAUUCCGAGAAUCCUUUGAGCUCUGAAUUAGUCAGUUGUUUCUAUAAUCCAAUGCCUUUGCAUUGUUACUUCCUCUGGUUGUGUGGUCGAUACUCACAUCAGCUCCAUUAUGGACCGGCAGAUCCAUUGUUGGAUUUUAUCCAACAGUGUCCUUCAUAUUCAAUAACCUUGUGAGCCUUCCCUCAGAUACAUAAUGCCUUUGGUAAAUUGUAUCCUCUGCUAUCUCAACCAUGCUCAGCUUUCGACCUGGUGGUAUUUACUAUUGAAGCUUGUGGUAUAUGUUUCCAUGAUACCCUGAUGGAUUGAACCUAUGCCUUCCUUAAUAUGUGUGAACUCAAAAGUUUUCACGAGUAUUACUCUUCUGGUAUUUUGCCAGAUAAAAUUUCAACAGUACAACUUUUUCGAAAGUGAGAAGUGAAUGAAAGGUUAUGCAUUGGAGAAGUGGGAGUCGACCUUGAACUUUGUGUUCAUUCCCAUGUACACGAUGUAGAUCGUAUCAUUGAAGCUUCUCUUCAAUUAAAUAUCCCCUUGGUAUAAGUUCAUCUUAUAUCUGGGAUCUAGCAUUUUGCAAUUGUGGUUCCGGCCAUGUUCUCCUUUAAAUACCAUUUCUCGUGCAAGUUUAAGCACUCGUCUUCUGCAGAGCAAUACUCUACCCCAACCUCUACUUUGAUAUGUCGUCGAGUAUUACCCCCCUCGUAUCUCGAAAUUAUCUUGGAACUGCAUAAUUUCUUAUGAGUUCUUCAUCAAGUACUACAUUCUCACUGAUUACAAUUUUUCAUGGGCUCUGAGUUAUUAAACACCCAAAGACACCGAUAACUGAACCAAGUCUGCACUACGGUUCAAUGACACUUGGUAAUCUUCUUUAAGUACGAGUUUGUACCCGAUCACGCCAUUCCUAGCCUAUAUGGCUAUAUCAUUGUCGUGGUGACCUUAACCGUGCUACCUGGUCCUUAUUCUUGGAGCACCACUUCGACGAUGAGCUAAGCUUGCGUCGAUUUUCCUUGUCAUAUCAUUUCACCUUGAAUAGCAAGCAUGAUUUCAAGUUUGUGUCGUACCCUUGGUUCCAAUAACUUUUCGCUUCACCAUUCCUUUGACUUGAUGUCAUUGCCGACCGAUUACAUCUUCAAGAAACCUCUCGACAAGUGUGUCGUGAUCAUCGUCAACAUUUUAACUUCUUCUGAGAUAUCAAUUGAAUUCAUGAUGAGAAAUUCCAUGCUUGCCCCUCGAUGAUCUAUGUUAUCAUCAACCACAUCCUUGCCUUCCUUUCAAACACAGACUUGGUCUUGUUUUGAAUGAACUUUAAGUUCCUGGCUAUCCAGCUUAUCUUAUGUCCUACCUUGAAGUAAUACCAUCUUAUAUAUUAAGAAUGUUGUGAGAAUUGCUCCACCUCUUAAGAAUUCUUGGUAUAGUGAUACUUCUCACCAUCACUAUUCUUUCUUGUGUUGUUUCUAACCGGGAUACCAACAGGUGAACGGUGCUGUUUGGAUUCCGCUCUUCUAUCAACCCUAUUGCUUUGAAGUUAUUGAACUAUAGUUUCAUUCUAAGUCUAUUGCUUAUUGAAUCCUCAUUCGAACAUUGAUCUGCUACCUAGUCCAGAUUUCAGGGUGCACCUUUCAACCAAUGUUUAACUGUGUAUGUUUUCCUCGAGCAUACCUCAUUACAUCAUUUGAUCUGACAAAUGUUAUCUCCUUAUUCACAUAAGUGUGGAAAUCCAUCUUUUGAAAAUCUCAAUGAAUUGUCGCUGAGUUCAUUGCUACGUCUUGAGCUAGCGUUGGUUUUCCCCGAAGAGGAGAGGGUGAUGCAGCAAAGUGUAGCGUAAGUAUUUCCCUCAGUUUUGAGAACCAAGGUAUCAAUCCAGUAGGAGGCUCCUCAAAAGUACCACACACCUACACAAACAAACUGAGAACUCGCAACCAACGCAAUAAAGGGGUUGUCAAUCCCUUCACGGUCACUUACGAAAGCGAGAUCUGAUAGAGAAAGUAUGAUAAGAUAAAUAUAUUUUUGGUAUUUUGUGAUAUAGAUGCAGAAAAGUAAAGAUGCAAAUAAAAGUAGAUUGAAAGCAAAUAUGAUAAGAGAUAGACCCGGGGCCCAUAGGUUUCACUAGAGGCUUCUCUCGAGAGCAUAAGUAUUACGGUGGGUGAACAAAUUACUGUCGAGCAAUUGAUAGAAAAGAGAAUAAUUAUGACGUUAUCUAGGCAUGAUCAUGUAUAUAAACAUCACGUCCAUAACAAGUAGACCGACUCCUUCCUGCAUCUACUACUAUUACUCCACACAUCGAUCGCUAUCCAGCAUGCAUCUAGUGUAUUAAGUUCAUAAGAACAGAGCAACGCAUUAAGCAAGAUGACAUGAUGUAGAGGGAUAAACUCAAGCAAUAUAAUAUAAACCCCAUCUUGUUAUCCUCGAUGGCAACAAUACAAUACGUGUCUGGCAACCCUUUCUGUCACUGGGUAAGAUCACCGCAAGAUUGAACCCAAAGCUAAACACUUCUCCCAUGGCAAGAAAGAUCAAUCUAGUAGGCCAAACCAAACUGAUAAUUCGAAGAGACUUGUAAAGAUAACUCAAUCAUACAUAAAAGAAUUCAGAGAAGAUUCCAAUAUUAUUCAUAGAUAAACUUGAUCAUAAACCCACAAUUCAUCGGAUCUCGACAAACACACCGCGAAAAGAGAUUACAUCGAAUAGAUCUCCACAAGAGAGGGGGAGAACAUUGUAUUGAGAUCCAAAAAGAGAGAAGAAGCCAUCUAGCUAAUAACUAUGGACCCGUAGGUCUGUGGUAAACUAUUCACAACUCAUAGGAGGGGCAAGGAUGUUGAUGUAGAGGCCCUUCGUUGUCGAUUCCCCCUCCGGCAGAGUGCCGGCGAAGGCUCCAAGAUGGGAUACCGCGGAUACAGAAGGUUACAGCGGUGGAAAUUGUGUUUCGUGGUGCUCCUGGAUGUUUUCCGGGUCUGUGGAUAUAUAUAGGAGAAAGAUGUACGUCGGUGGAUGCCCGAGGGGCCCACGAGACAGGGGGCGCGCCCCUAGGGGGGCGCGCCCUCCUAUCUCGUGGGGCCCUCGAGAUUUCUUGACUUGCACUCUAGGCUCUCCGGAUCAGAUUUGUUCCAAAAAUAACGCUCCCGAAGGUUUCAUUCCGUUUGGACUCCGUUUGAUAUUCCUUUUCUUCGAAAUACUGAAAUAGGCAAAAAAAAAAACAAUAUGGGCUCGGCCUCCGGUUAGUAGGUUAGUCCCAAAAAUGAUAUAAAUGUGUAGAAUAAAGCCCAUAAACAUCCAAAAGGGGUAAUAUAAUAGCAUGGAACAAUCAAAAAUUAUAGAUAUGUUGGAGACGUAUCAAGCAUCCCCAAGCUUAAUUCAUGCUCGUCCUCGAGUAGGUAAAUGAUAAAAAGAGAAUUUUUGAUGUGGAAUGCUACCUAGCAUAAUUCAUAAUGUAAUUUUAUUUCAUUGUGGCAUGAAUGUUUAGAUCCAAAUAAUACAAAAUAAAAGUUCAUAAAGACAUAAGAAAUAGUAAUACUUCAAGCAUACUAAUCAAGGUAAUCAUGUCUUCUCAGAAUAACAUGGCUAAAGAAAGUUAUCCCUACAAAAUCAUAUAGUCUGGCUAUGCUUUAUCUUCAUCACACAAAGUAAUUAAUCAUGCACAACCCCGAUGACGAGCCAAGCAAUUGUUUCAUACUUUAAUAAUCUCAAACUCUUUCAACUUUCACGCAAUACAUGAGCGUGAGCCAUGGACAUAACACUAUGUGUGGAAUAGAAUGGUGGUUGUGGAGAAGACAAAAAGGAGAAGAUAGUCUCACAUCAACUAGGCGUAUCAAUGGGCUAUGGAGAUGCCCAUUAAUUUAUAUCAAUGUGAGUGAGUAGGGAUUGACAUGCAACGGAUGCACUAGAGCUAUAAAUAUAUGAAAGCUCAACAAAAGAAAACUAGUGGGUGUGCAUCCAACUUACUUGCUCACGAAGACCUAGGGCACUUUUGAGGAAGCCCAUCAUUGGAAUAUACAAGCCAAGUUCUAUAAUGAAAAAAUCCCACUAGUAUAUGAAAGUGACAACUUGUGAGACUCUCUAUCAUGAAGAUCAUGGUGCUGUUUUGAAGCACAAGUGUGGAAAAAGAGAUAGUAGCAUUGUCCCUUCUCUCUUUUUCUCUCAUUUUAUAUAUUUUUUCUUUUUCUUUUUUCUUUUUUUUUCUUUCUUUCUGUGGCCUUUUCUUUUUUUAUUUUUGGCCUUUCUCUUUUUUUCUCUUUUCUCCCCUUUUUUUCUGUAAAGUCCGAAGUCUCAUCCCGACUUGUGGGGAAAUCAUAGCCUUCAUCAUCCUUUCCUCACAAGGACAAUGCUCUAAUAAUGAAGAUCAUCACACUUUUAUGGAUUUACAACUCAAAGCUAGAACAAGAUAUGACUCUAUAUAAAUGCCUCCGACGGUGUACCGGCAUAUGCAAUGACUCAAGAGCGACAUGUAUGAAAAUUAUGAAGGUGGCCUUGCCACAAAUACGAUGUCAACUACAUGAUCAUGCAAAGAGCACUAUGACAAAAGUAAUGUGUGUCAUAUGAACGGAACGGUGGAAAGUUGCAUGGCAAUAUAUCUCGGAAUGGCUAUGGAAAUGCCAUAAUAGGUAGGCAUGGUGGCUGCUUUGAGGAAGGAGUAUGGUGGGUGUAUGGUACCGGCGAAAAUUGUACGGCACAAAAGAGGCUAGCAAUGGUGGAAGGGUGAAAGGGUGCGUAUAAUCCAUGGACUCAACAUUAAUCAAAAGAACUCAUAUACUUCUUGCAAAAAUUUAGAAGUCAUCAAAAAUUAAAGCACUACGCGCAUGCUCCUAGGGGGAUAGAUUGGCAGGAAAAGACUAUCGCUCGUCCCCGACUGCCACUCGUAAGGAAUACAAUCAAUAAAUAAAAUUGUUCUCCAAGUUCAUCACAAAGCGGUUCACCAUACGUGCAUGCUACGGGAAUCACAAACUUCAACACAAGCAUUCUUCAUAAUCACCCAACUAGCAUGACUUUAAUAUUACUACCUCCAUAUCUCAAAACAAUUAUCAAGUAUCAAGUUGAUCAUAGCAUCCAAUUCACUUCCUAUGAUAGUUUUAAUUAUACCCAACUUGGAUGCUCAUCAUUCUAGGACCAACUUUGUAACAAAAGCAAAUACCAUGCUGUUCUAAGAGACUCUCAAAAUGAUAUAAGUGAAGCAUGAUAUACUAGUAAUUUCUUCAAAAUUAAGACACCACCGUCUUGCUCUAAAAGAUAUAAGUGAAGCACUAGAGCAAAAACUAUCAAGCUCAAAAGAUAUAAGUGAAGCACAUAGAGUAUUCUAGCAAAUUCUAAUCAAAUAGGCUUCUCGCAAAAGGUGUGUACAGCAAGUAUGAUUGUGGCAAACUAACAAGCAAAUACUAAUAUAAUACACGACGCUCCAAGAAAAACACAUAUCAUGUGGCGAAUAAAAAUAUAGCUCCAAGUAAAGUUACCAAUGAACGAAGAGGAAAGAGGGGAUGCCUUCCCGGGGCAUCCCCAAGCUUAGGCUUUUGGCUACUGUUGAAUAUCUUGGGCUGCCAUGGGCAUUCCCAAGCUUAGGCUCUUGCCACCCUUUAUUCCAUAGUCCAUAAAGGCUUUACCCAAAACUUGAAAACUUCACAACACAAAACUCAACAGGAAAUCUUAUAAGCUCCGUUAGUGAAAGAAAACAAAACCACCACAUAAGGUACUGCAAUGAACUCAUUCUUUAUUUAUUUUGGUGUUAAACCUACUUUAUUCCAACUUACUUAUGGUUUAUAAACUAAUUCAUUAGCCAUAGAUACAUUGAAAUAAGCAAACAACACACGAAAAACAGAAUCUGUCAAAAACAGAACAGUCUGUAGCAAUAUGUAACUAACGCAAACUUAUGGAACUCUAAAAGUCCUACCAAAAUAGCACGUACUGGACAAUUUGACUAUUGAUCAGCAGAAAAAAGAAUCAAUGCCAAAGCAUGUUUCUGUGAUUUAUUGAAUUUUUUCUGGUGAGUACAAAGUUUCUGUUUUUCAGCAGAAUCAAAUCAACUAUCAUCAUGGUUUAUCCUAUAGGUUCUACUUGGAACAAACACUAAUUAAAAGAUAAAAACACAUCUAAACAGAGAGUAGAUGCAAGAUUUUAUUUAAUAACAGCAAGGAAAAAUAUUGGGUUGCCUCCCAACAAGCGCUUUUCUUUAAAGCCUUUUUAGCUAGGCAUUGAGAUUUCAAUGAUGCUCACACGAAAGACAAGAAUUGAAGCAUAAAGAGAGCAUCAUGAAACACGUGACAAACACAUCUAAGUCUAACAUACUUCCUAUGCAUAGGCAUAUUAUAAGCAAACAAAUUUCCACGGCAAGCAAGAACUAGCAUAUGCAAGGAAGAAGAAAGAGACGAUAGCAAUCUCAACAUGACGAGAGGUAAUUUAAUAAGAUAAAAAUUUCUACGACCAUAUUUUCCUCUCUCAUAAUAAUUACAUAUAGGAUCAUAGGCAAAUUCAACAAAAUAGCUAUCACAAAACAUAUUUUCAACAUGAUCCACAUGCAUGCAAAGUUGACACUCUUCCAAGAUAGUGGGAUUAACAUUGACUAAAGUCAUGACUAAAUAUGUGGGAUCUAAAGUUGACACUCUUCCAAACCCACUUUCAAUAUUGUUGCAAACACUAUUAUCAAUCUCAUAUUCAUCAUGGGGCUUAAAUAAAUUUUCAAGGUUAUAAGAAGAAUCACCCCAGUCAUGAUCAUUGAAACAAGUAGUAGACAUAGCAAAACUAGCAUCCCCAAGCUUAGGGUUUUGCAUAUUAUUAGCACAAUUGACACCAAGAGAAUUUAUAGGAAAAUCAUCGCAAUCAUGCUUUUUAUUCAAGGAGUUAUUGUGAAUCUCUUUAUAAAUUUCUUCAUCACAAUUUUCAGAUUCACGAAUUUCAAGCAAAACUUCAUAAAGAUAAUCUAGUGCACAAAACUCACUAGCAAUUGGUUUAUCAUAAUUGGAUCCCUUAAAAAGAUUAGAAAGUGGAUGAGGAUCCAUAGAUCUUGGGUUCUCUGUUUAGCAAUAAAUAAGCAUCUACUCCAACCAAACGAGCAAACGUAAGGGCAAGCAAAAGGGAGAAGAGAUUGGGAAAGAGAGGGCAAAUAAAACGGCAAGGGUGAAGUGGGGGGAGAGGAAAAUGAGAGGCAAAUAAUGUAAACGCGAGGGAGAUGGGUUUGUGAUGGGUACUUGGUAUGUCUUGACUUGACCGAAGACCUCCCCGGCAACGGCGCCAGAAAUCCUUCUUGCUACGUCUUGAGCUAGCGUUGGUUUUCCCCGAAGAGGAGAGGGUGAUGCAGCAAAGUGUAGCGUAAGUAUUUCCCUCAGUUUCGAGAACCAAGGUAUCAAUCCAGUAGGAGGCUCCUCAAAAGUCCCACGCACCUACACAAACAAACUGAGAACUCGCAACCAACGCAAUAAAGGGGUUGUCAAUCCCUUCACGGUCACUUACGAAAGUGAGAUCUGAUAGAGAAAGUAUGAUAAGAUAAAUAUAUUUUUGGUAUUUUUUGAUAUAGAUGCAGAAAAGUAAAGAUGCAAAUAAAAGUAGAUUGAAAGCAAAUAUGAUAAGAGAUAGACCCGGGGGCCAUAGGUUUCACUAGAGGCUUCUCUCGAGUGCAUAAGUAUUACGAUGGGUGAACAAAUUACUGUCGAGCAAUUGAUAGAAACGCGAAUAAUUAUGACGUUAUCUAGGCAUGAUCAUGUAUAUAGGCAUCACGUCCAUAAGAAGUAGACGAACUCCUGCCUGCAUCUACUACUAUUACUCCACACAUCGACCGCUAUCCAGCAUGCAUCUAGUGUAUUAAGUUCAUAAGAACAGAGCAACGCAUUAAGCAAGAUGACAUGAUGUAGAGGGAUAAACUCAAGCAAUAUGAUAUAAACCCCAUCUUGUAUCCUCGAUGGCAACAAUACAGUACGUGUCUUGCAACCAUUUCUGUCAUUGGGUAAGAUCACCGCAAGAUUGAACCCAAAGCUAAACACUUCUCCCAUGGCAAGAAAGAUCAAUCUAGUAGGCCAAACCAAACUGAUAAUUCGAAGAGACUUGUAAAGAUAACUCAAUCAUACAUAAAAGAAUUCAGAGAAGAUUCCAAUAUUAUUCAUAGAUAAACUUGAUCAUAAACCCACAAUUCAUCGGAUCUCGACAAACACACCGCAAAAAGAGAUUACAUCGAAUAGAUAUCCACAAGAGAGGGGGAGAACAUUGUAUUGAGAUCCAAAAAGAGAGAAGAAGCCAUCUAGCUAAUAACUAUGGACUCGUAGGUCUGUGGUAAACUACUCACACCUCAUAGGAGGGGCAAGGAUGUUGAUGUAGAGGCCCUCCGUGGUCGAUUCCCCCUCCGACAAAGUGUCGGCGAAGGCUCCAAGAUGGGAUCUCGCGGAUACAGAAGGUUACGACGGUGGAAAUUGUGUUUCCUGGUGCUCCUGGAUGUUUUUGGGGUCCGUGGAUAUAUAUAUAGGAGAAAGAAGUACGUCGGUGGACGCCCGAGGGGCCCACGAGACAAGGGGGUGCGGCCCUAGGGGGGCGCCCUCCUAUCUCGUGGGGCCCUCGGAGAUUUCUUGACUUGCACUCCAGGCUCUUCGGAUUAGAUCUUUUGCAAAAAUAACGCUCCCGAAGGUUUCAUUCCGUUUGGACUCCGUUUGAUAUUCUUUUCUUCAAAAUACUGAAAUAGGCAGAAAAAUAACAAUAUGGGUUGGGCCUCCGGUUAGUAUGUUAGUCCCAAAAAUGAUAUAAAUGUGUAGAAUAAAGCCCAUAAACAUCCAAAAGGUGUAAUAUAAUAGCAUGGAAUAAUAAAAAUUAUAGAUACGUUGGAGACGUAUCAUUCAUCAGCCACCUCCUCGUCCUCUCCGUGGUUGAAUGAUGAACUCAUGAUUCAGAACUUGCUUCCAUAGUUCAUUUCCCAAGAAUUUUGCAACUCCAUCUCGUCAAAUUGUGUUGCACCCCUUCCUUCUCAGGCAUCAUGAGUCUGAGGUAUCCUGACACCAAUCAGAACUGAAUCUCAGUCAGAUAUGAUGGUUGGGACAUUUUCCAAAAGCCGUAACAUUGGACUUUGUAUAGCCCAGUAAGGUGAUGUCAUGCCUACCGCACCGGGCCGGAGGACCCAUUGUUAUAGUUUUCCUUUUCAGCAAGGUUAUCCAUUCUUUCAUGAGGAAAUUGUAAGACUUAUUCAAUAAGUUGCUCCUGAUGGAUCAUUUGUGUAUCCAAAGUCUGGCCCUUGAUUGAAACACCAUAUCAUUGCUACCUCGAAGCAUGACUAUGAUACCCCGCUCUUCAACAAGAACAUUGGAGGCACGAUGCUAAAUGUUUCUUUGUCAGUUAUCCAAACACCGUUGUAUGGGUAACAUCUUGAUUAAUCCUUGCCUCUUAUCUAAAUGGUUGGGUACUUGCUCUCCUACCCUGUAUGCCAUGUUCUGUUUGUACAUGGGUAGGAUAUACUCCUAAUAAUUGUGUAUAUAUAAUCACGAUUUUCCUUUCCAUAGUUCUGUUUAAUCUGAUAAU